This is a long non-coding RNA of Carassius auratus (goldfish), 4008 nucleotides long. RefSeq lists it as uncharacterized. NCBI's taxonomy places the organism in Eukaryota, Metazoa, Chordata, Actinopteri, Cypriniformes, Cyprinidae. The transcript has 2 exons. The record is from RefSeq and is a predicted model, not a curated record.
UUUAUGUUCGGUCACAAUGGUAUAAUGUGUGUACUGAAAUAACAUAUAUCGUUUUUUUUCCCCUUGAAAUAUCAGCUUCAGAAUCAUUCUGAUGGUAAGGAAGAAAUUCUGUGAAAAACAACUGCUUUAUGACAGUGAUAUAUUUGUGACAUUCUCAUCCACAGAAUUCGAAAUGAUUACUAAAACUAUAGUCAUAGCUAUAGUUAUAGUCAUAGCUGAGGUCUGUUCUCAGCAAGAAUGAUAAGUGUGGACUUCUCUAUUCUCAUGAAACCAGAUAUGAGCAAGUCUCAUAAUCUGCUAAAGCAUCUCUUGACUGAUGAUGAAGGUCUGACAGCAGAGAUCUACAUCGAUGCGGUUCAGACUCUCAUCAUGGAGAUCGGAGCCCUUAUCCUCAUGGGCUUCAGUGAGUGACCGUGGCAGUCAUUGAUUUAAGUCUUGAAGCCUUUAAUACAAUAAUAAUAUACUCUUCUCAAUGUUGCUGUGAAGGUGUUUUGGAGGUUGGCGGAUUUCAAGUUGUCCUGGAUAAGUAUUCUCAGGUGUUCUGACCAGGUAAAGAACCAGCUUAUUAUUAUUAUUUUUUUGUUAAGGUGGUUUGUGCAUGCUAAAGGAGGCUCUUUACUCGCUGCUUACCUCUUAAGUUGUGCCCUUCUUCAUGAUGGUGAUUCCAGGCGUGAUCAGCAGGAUACUUUACCCCUGGGUGUGUCCGAAAUACACCAAAGUUUAAGACCUCUGAACAUCUAAAAGCACGAUUUGUUAUCUUAAAGUGUUUGUGAAUUGUAGACGAGGUAGGCUGUGGAGACCCAAAUGUGUGUAAACCAGUUUGUGGGAAUCCGGUGGGCUUCUUGGGACAUUGCUUAAACCAGACUGCUAAUGGAGCUUCUCCUGCAGGUCUGAGGGGUUUAAUGAUGGCUGUGGUGUUGGCUGCUCUCUGACUUCCAUAUUUGACAGUUCCAGCACUAUUUUCAUCCAUAGACCUUUGAGGAAACAUCUGCCGCACUGCCUCCGAGUGGGAACUCCUGAUUGUGGGAAGGUAUGCCAUCAACAAGUUGUUAUCACGUAGAUUUUAAAGGACAGUUCAUCUUUUUCUCCAUCCUGUAAAGGGCUAUUUGCAUUUAAAUGUAACCAGAAAGACAAACAUUGGACCGUUUACUUGGAAAUUAUAGAUGGGUCGAUGUCAACCUCCAUUAAUGGAUAGAUGUUACAUUUUUGAUGGAAAUGAAAAUUGGGUUGACAUUCAAUUUUAUGUUGGCUUUGCAAACUUGCGAAGAGGUGGUCCAUUUCUGGAAACAUUUCAGAAUUUCUCGAGACUUUACAGUAUUUUUUGGAAACUUUCAGAAAAUCUUGACUUUUUUUAGUAAGUGUCUGAAAGUUUUUGAUCCCUUUGCAACCCUACUUAGAUCAACUUGCAUUUGGACAGACUCCUGGUUAAUUAAAACUAAUGAAAUAUCAGUGUCUAAUGAUGUUGUAAUCUAAUGUUGUGUGGAUAUUAACAUUAUGAUGUUUUAGCAUGUUGGUUUUUGAUUGCCAUAGGCUCACGAUUGACUGUCAAUGUUUAAUGUCAAUGUGAUGUUUGAAAGAGAUAGAAUUUUGGUAACAAAAAUAUCAACAUCAACAGUAUUUGUCAAUGUUCUCCAUCAAAUUGACACUGGCAUUAGACAUUGUCCUGACACAGAAUGGCUGUUUACAUUUAAAAGUACUCAGAAAUGCUAUAACAUCGGACAGAUGUUGAUUUGGUUGGAUGUCAGAACUUAUAUUCAACCAAAUAUCAACAUCUUACAAUGUUGGGUGUCUAGAACAAAUAAAAUCCUUCUUUUGUUGGUGAGCGUUUGUUUCUGGUAAAUCAACCUAAUUUUGUCAUUCUACGACUGCAAAUGCUAAAUUGUUGUGCUCUUGUAAAGCUGGACUGUUUCAGCUGUGUGUGUGUGUGUGUUGGUGUCAGUGCUGUGGAUUCCUCUGGUUCAGGCCAGCCAGGGAGGGCAGCUCUUCAUCUACAUCCAAUCUAUCAUCAUCAGAGUAUUUGAGGUGACCUUUUUUUGUGGAAAUUUUAGUUUGAAUACACUACUUAUUUAUACUACAAAAUGGCACAGAAUAGUGCAUAAGAAUGCGAUUUAUGACACUUGGUAAUCAGUCAUUCUCAUUCAUUUUUCUGUUGUGUUGGGUGCAUUCUGGAGUCUGAUAGUGGGCAUGGUGGUAGGCUGUAACUAAGUUAGCAACUUUGUUGGUUGCAAUACAAUUUCCCAUUGCCAACCAAGGUGCUAACAGGUUAGCAACUAUGCUUUUAGGAAAACGCACCCCAGAUUAGAAAACAUUUCUGGCUUCCAUACUGUAGUAUGGAGAAAAAGUAUCAUAGGAAUCAUCGGCUACCUUCAAAUAAUUGGUUACAGGCAUUUUCCAGAAUUACAAUUAUUGGGUGAAUUAUCUGUUUAAUUUGUGAAAUAAACUCAUAUAAAUGAUUUGGUAUUUUCCAGAUCAGUCGUUUGACGUGGUACACACACGAUCCUGUGACAGAAAGCGGUUGUGGUUUCAGUUUUCCAGACGAUCGAGGAUGACCCACAAUACUCAAAAGACAUGGAAAAUAAUGCAUAUCCUUCAAAAGAGGGUACUUUGACCACUCCAUACGCAGGCACAGAUAAAUGAUGUUGUAAAUUGUAUAAUUUAUCCCGCUCUAUUUCUUAGAUAGUCCAGUUUUCCAGCAGAGGGAGACAAAGUCAUUUCAUAUUUUUCAAUGUUUUUAAAUGAGGUGAAAGAAAAAAGAAAAAAAAAAUGGAGGAACAGAAUUAUUUGUAAGCAUACAAUGACUCUAAGAAUUACUUAAAUAUCUACAUCACAAUUAAUAUCUGAGCAUCAUUGAUUUAGAUAAAAUGCACUAAAUCUCCUAAUUAUAUUCAUGUAGAUAAUACUUGUUUUCAUGUAAUUCUGAAUGCAUUAUUUGUCAGCAGACUCCAGUAGUUGUGCGUCCAGCAAUGCGGGUUCAUCUAAACUUAAAUCUGUUCUGGAUCUGUGGAAUGGAGAAGCAGAGAGGAGAGGAAGACCCCUGUAUAAGACACCUGGUAAACACCAAGCUCAUCGUCUGUCUGUCUAUCAGUGGCCGUGUUUCUCUUCGCUUACUGGCCACAGUCACUUGUCCUUUAUAAUGUAUUGUUUAUUGUGACUGCAGUGAAAGAAAAUCUCCACGCAGUAUGUACUUAAUAAUAAACCAAUAUUCUUAUUUAUAAUAUAUCAUCAUAAAUCAGUUGUUUCUUUUUUGCAACCAACACUUCAACAAUUUGUCCCUGUUGUUUCUGCAACUUAAGCCGUAUUUCAAAAAACAACUGGUUUUGAUUUCUGUAAGCAUUUUAUUAGAUAUAUAAUCAGAAAACAGUUGCUGUGUUGAAAAACUGAAUGUGUACCAACAUUUAUUCACUGGAGGCACUGGAGAACAUGAAGUAGAAUUCAGAUGGAGGGAAUGUGCACACAGAUGUACAAAAGGGGAUGAAACCGAAAUAAAAAUCAAUAUGUACAAUUAAGAGCCAAUUAAAGAUAACAUAUCCACAGAAAUAAAGACACAUACUCACUCUUGAAAAGACUAAAUGACUUUGGCUUUCUAGCUGACGGUUCCUGAGCUUGACUGAUCCAUUAACCCUUUCAUUCACAUUUAUGUUGUCAGUGCUGUUUUUGCAUUGCAUCCAACAUGAAAUAACCCCCCCUAAAGCUCUGACACAGGAUCAUACGCUUUUUUAUAUAUAUAAAAAAGCAUCUUUGGUCAUUUUGGAGAAUAAAGUAUUUCAUAAUAGUACACGCAGGGUUUAUUUAGUAUAUACACCACUAAAGUAAACCCUGUAAAAGACAGUUACAAUUGUUAAAAACUACUAAACUAAUACAAAAAUGACUGUCAUGUCAUAACACUACAUUGCAGUCAGUAUUGCACCCCAGGAAAAAUACUUAAAAAUACAAAUCAUAUUCAUUUAUUAAAUCAACUGUACCUGUAUAACCAUUAUGUUUCUUAAGCUUUUUUUUUUUUUUUUUUUU